Molecule: transfer RNA, 66 nt
Filed under: Camelus bactrianus (Bactrian camel)
Lineage: Eukaryota; Metazoa; Chordata; Mammalia; Artiodactyla; Camelidae
Also listed under: 2 other names
Rfam family: tRNA
About the family: Transfer RNA (tRNA) molecules are approximately 80 nucleotides in length.
Source: Rfam by way of RNAcentral
GGUAUAGCUCAAGUGGUAGAGCGCGUGCUUAGCAUGCAUGAGGUCCUGGGUUCAAUCCCCAGUACC